ACUAAAGAGCUGAAUGUACAAAGGGAAAAAGAGAUGUCAAUCCAGGAAAAUGAUCGUCUUAAAUGUCGCUUGAAAUCCUUAAUAAGAGAAAAGGAGAUGUCUUCUCAAGAGAUUAAUCAUCUUACAAUACAGCUUAAAUUACUCAAGUCAAAGGAGA
This is a long non-coding RNA of Saccostrea cuccullata (small rock oyster), 157 nucleotides long. RefSeq lists it as uncharacterized. The record is from RefSeq and is a predicted model, not a curated record. Lineage: Eukaryota; Metazoa; Mollusca; Bivalvia; Ostreida; Ostreidae. The transcript is spliced from 3 exons.